Molecule: long non-coding RNA, 3975 nt
Filed under: Bos indicus x Bos taurus (hybrid cattle)
Lineage: Eukaryota; Metazoa; Chordata; Mammalia; Artiodactyla; Bovidae
Description: lncRNA (ENSBIXG00005022409.1)
Source: RNAcentral
AUGUCCUUAGAACCGACCCCCACCCACCCCCUUCCAGCUUUGUCUGUAGCCGUAGACCAAAAUUUGGGAUUCGGCAUUUGCCAAAUAUGCUUAAUUUUUUUUUCUUCUUUCCUCUUUCCCUUUCGGUUUGUUUUGUUUUUUAGAGGAACGGCAAAUGACAAGGCAGAGGGAAGGCUGGCCCAGCCAAUCCCGGAGCCGCUGCAGCGCCGGUUCCCCACAUACAUUGUGGUGCAGGGACAGAGAGGAGGGGGCGGCUGGCCCCCGCGCCUCCCCUGCCCGGGGCCCCCUGGCCGCUCCCCGGGGAGAAGGGCAGCUGGACAGAGGCUGCCUGGGGCCAGGGUGCAAGGGUGCAGCCGCACCUCCCUGCUGCCCGGCGUGGGAAGAAGAACGCGGAGCCAGCUGGAAGGGAGGAGGCUGGCCAGGGGAGGCAGGAGCCGACGACCCAGAAUAGCAAAGAAGACAGAAGCUAAGCACACCCAGAGCUGCUUUUAGCCGGCAAUGGUAAGCCUGGCUCUAGAAGUCUUACUUCUCACCUCCUCUACACACAUUUCCCCCAGAGGCCCCAGGAACAUUUUCUUCUCAUUGAAGAAAAAAGAGAAAAGGUCUUUAUCAAAAAUUCUUUUUAAAUACCUUUCAGUCCAGGGUGAACCCAUACUACGCGGGUUUCCACAAAUGUUCAGACAAGUGCACUGACUUGGAGGAACAUUCAUUUGCUACAGAUUUAUUAAGGAUCUGUUCUGGGUUGGGCAUUGUGCAAAGCUUGGUGGGGAUACAGAUAUCUAGAGGAUUCACAGAAUAGUCUGGAAGGUAUGUGGGCAGUUGAACCAAUUUUAAUAGGACCUGCCCCAGAUCAUUUGAAAAGACCCUGAUGCUGGGAAAGAUCAAAGGCGGGAGGAGAAGGGGACGACAGAGGAUGAGAUGGUUGGAUGGCAUCACUGACUCAGUGGACAUGAGUUUGAGUAAACUCCCGGACUUGGUGACGGGAGGCCUGGCGUGUUGCAGUCCAGGGGGUCACAAAGAGUCAGACACUAGUGAGUGACUGAACUGAACUGCCCCAGAUCAUAAGCUUUAGGCGAGCGCAUUUGUGUCUGUUGCAUUCACUGCAGUGGCCCAGUGUGGGGCACUGCGCUCGGCACUUGGCGGCCGUGCACACCCCUGAAACUGGCUGACCCAUCUGCGCAGGCUCCCACGGCCCUGUAACUGACUCACCCAGCCCUGUUGGUGUCCGUCCUGGAAAGCAGGAGGGACCUGAGGAGGUAAGUGGAGCAACACAGGAGCUCACAGCAGCCCGUGUGACAAACCUGGGCAAAGAUGGAGUCUUUAAUGAUAACCGGACAGACUGGUUGUGUGGGUGCCAUUAAGGAGAAAGGACACAGACGGGUUGACCCUGUUGGGAAGGAGGGACCUUUGACCUUUGGACUGUGAGAAAGGAGGAAAAUGACCUGGGACAAAGAGGUGGGUCACCAUCCCCAUGUGACCGGGUAAAGCCGGGGGGCUAAGGAAGAAAAAAGAACCAGCCGGUGGCAGGGAAGGUAGGAUGGAGUCAGGAGAGGAGAAACCAGAAUGGGAGGGAGCCUGGAGGCAUCGCAGACCCAGGGCGGACACGGAGCCGAAGCAGGUAAGUCCCAGGGGAAGAUGCUGGCAGUGGCCGUCCGAUCUGACCGGCGGGCCUCCUCCCAAUGAUACGACCAUAACCAGAUAUGACCCAGAAUACCACGUUUCUCUGCACUGGGCAGGCACAGGGAAAGUAAGUGCAGUUUGAGGUUAUAGUUACUAUGGAAGUUUUCAUGUAUCUGCGAAGGUAAGGAGAGCAUAAGUGAUUUUGGUGUUCUGUCACUCCAUUUUAUCCUGUAAUCAACACAUGGCCCUGUCUGCUUCAUUUGUACGUUCAUCAACCUUAUCCCUCACUCCCCUUUUGGAAGAUUUUACAGCAGAUCCAAGAUACCACAUUUCAUCCAUAAGUACUGCAUGAUGAAUCUUUUAAAAAGUAUUAUUUUAAAAAACAUAACUCCCGUAGUAUCACUCCCAGCAAAAGCAGUCAUUCUUAACGCCACCGAUUAUCCAUUCAGUUACAUUUCCCUUGCUUGUCUCAGUUUUGGUUUUUUUUUUUUAAACACAGUUGGUAUUUUGUCUGAAUCAAGCUGCACACAAGGUCCCCAUGUUUCAUGUCGUUCACGAUCGAUCUCAGCGUCUCUGUUAGGAAAGAGGAUGCUCUUUCGGGAAAGCUCAGUGCUGUGCAAUUCUGCGGUUCAGAUUUACUUAGCUGCCCUGCCCCAUCUCCAGUCGGCUACCGUUAACAGCUCUCCUGAGUUUUGUGAACCGUUUGGUGAUUUUUGAGCAUCCUUCAUUAUUCCUCUUGUCUUUGUGGUGUAAUGUAACUAGUCAUUUUUUCCUUUCUUUGAUAAGUAUUUCUCGCGAGUCUGCUCGGUGCCAGACACCGUAGCCGGCACGCUGCGGUGAACAGACAGGCCGGCUUUGCUCUCGAGGAGCUUCUAGUCUGACCACGUGGGUGCUGUUGAGGGCCUGCUGGCUGUCCCCGACCCCGUCCAGCCGGCUGAACUGGGUGGCCGCAGGCGUCCCUGCUGGUCCGAGGGAUCCACCGCGUCCCCGGGCUUGGUGUUGGUGCUCUCGUGUGGUCCUCACACGUGGUUGAUCAGUGGUGUCCCCGGGUGUGGCGGCUGCAUCAGGUCCCCGUUCCGUGGCGGUGCCUGGGGAUUCCGACAGUGUCACCAACUGACUCUGCAUGGGUCCGCAAGACGCUGUUGGGCCUGAGCCUUUGUCGCUGAGCCAGUGAAUGCGGAGCGCUGGCUUGGCUGGUGGCUUGUAGAGGGGAGAGUGGAAACAUGUGGAAGGUGCUCGGAGCGGUCAGGGGGCUCAGCACACACUGUGGUGCGGGCCUAUUCCUGGAGCAGGUUGGAUGUUUCUGUGCCUCUGGAUUUCUGGGGACCUUGCGGCUCUGGCCCUUAACAAUUAGGCCACCUGCCUAAUCAGCCCUACUUUCUCGACCUCCUGUUCUCUGUCGAGCAGCCCAGUACUGGGUGGCUAUGUUGUCUCAGUAGCACUGUUCAGGCCUGUCUUGCUAAUAAGACCUUUCACUGAUUUGCAAUUCUCUGUGGACAAAUAAUCAGAUUUUUUGGGACACUGUGACUUUUGAUUUUGAGAAUGGCCCAUGAUUCAUGAUUUAGGCUUCCCUGUUGGCUCAGAGGCUAAAGCGUCUGCCUGCAAUGUGGGAGACCUGGAUUCAAUCCCUGGGUCAGGAAGACCCCCUGGAGAAGGAAAUGGCAACCCACUCCUGUACUCUUGCCUGGAAAAUCCCAUGGACAUAGAAGCCUGGUGGGCUAUAGUCCAUGGGAUCGCAAAGAGCUGGACACGACUGAACGACUUCACUUUCACUUUCAUGAUUCUUGUUGCAGUUUUCAAGUUCAAAUACAGGUAUAUUGCAGUUCCUGAAUUAUAGCAUCUGCGCCUUUAAAAAAAAAUCUUAGUUCAUAAAAUUAAUGUAUUCUCAGAUACAAAGACUUUCACCUUCUCUAGAUCUUUUAUUGUACGCUUAAGAUAAUACCGAUUAUAUGAAUAUGCCAAGAUAUGUAUUUCUGAAGGCUAUCUAGUGUAGCCUUUGGUGAUACGGUUUUAUUUCCUUCUAGUUAAUCUUUAUUUUGAUUGUCCCCUGGUAUUGGUUAAAACUUUUAAGCAAAUUUCCUUAUGUGUUGUGUGUGUGUGCAUGUUUAUAUACAGCAAGGCUGUGCUAAUAAUACAUCAUAAACCUUAUAAAAUAAAAAGUGAAAAUGAUUGGGUGCCUUGUGUUCCCGCGUGAACUACUUACAGUUCUAUCUGAGGGCAGCCGCUCUUCUUUGCUCUGAAUUUCAUCCUGAGACGUAUUCAGGACGCUCUUUCAGCACCUCCGUCUCCUCCUGGCAUCACUGUUUCUCCUCUCUUAACGGGAUCGUUUUGAUAUGCUGCUAUUUUUCCCAUCUU